AAUUCUGGACCCCGCUACAAUUUUCCGCAAGCCAAUUAUGUUCACUCUCCUCUUGUUUAUCAAGCUCCUCCAAUGCCACCUCAAUUUCAGCAAGCUUGGUAUCCCGACACGGCUGCCAACUAUCACAUCACUCCUGAUGUUCAGGCUUUAACAGCAGCUCAAGGUUACAAUGGGAACGAUAGUCUUCAUGUUGGUAAUGGUCAGGGUUUACAGAUUACUCAUACUGGUAAUGUUCAGCUCCAU
This 243-nucleotide unclassified non-coding RNA is filed under the name Hevea brasiliensis (rubber tree). Lineage: Eukaryota; Viridiplantae; Streptophyta; Magnoliopsida; Malpighiales; Euphorbiaceae. The record is from RNAcentral.